GGGGUUGUAGCUCAGUGGUAGAGUGCUUGUCUUGCACGUGUGAGGUACUGGGUUCAAUCCUCAGCACCA
RNAcentral lists this transfer RNA (69 nucleotides) under Ictidomys tridecemlineatus (thirteen-lined ground squirrel). Its description in RNAcentral is "Spermophilus tridecemlineatus (thirteen-lined ground squirrel) tRNA". It matches the Rfam family "tRNA". From Rfam's summary of the family: Transfer RNA (tRNA) molecules are approximately 80 nucleotides in length. Their secondary structure includes four short double-helical elements and three loops (D, anti-codon, and T loops). Lineage: Eukaryota; Metazoa; Chordata; Mammalia; Rodentia; Sciuridae. The record is from Rfam by way of RNAcentral.